AUACAGAGGGUGCAAGCGUUAAUCGGAUUUACUGGGCGUAAAGCGCGCGUAGGUGACUAAUUAAGUCAAAUGUGAAAUCCCCGAGCUUAACUUGGGAAUUGCAUUCGAUACUGGUUAGCUAGAGUAUGGGGGAGGAUGGUAGAAUCCCAGGUGUAGCGGUGAAAUGCGUAGAGGUCUGGAGGAAUACCGAUGGCGAAGGCAGCCAUCUGGCCUAAUACUGACACUGAGGUGCGAAAGCAUGGGGAGCAAACAGGAUUAGAUACCCUGGUAGUCCAUGCCGUAAACGAUGUCUACUAGCCGUUGGGGCCCUUGAGGCUUUAGUGGCGCAGCUAACGCGAUAAGUAGACCGCCUGGGGAGUACGGUCGCAAGACUAAAACUCAAAUGAAUUGACGGGG
RNAcentral lists this ribosomal RNA (396 nucleotides) under uncultured bacterium. RNAcentral describes it as "partial 16S ribosomal RNA". It matches the Rfam family "Bacterial small subunit ribosomal RNA", at positions 523 to 918 of the family's 1533-position model. The record is from RNAcentral.